ACUCCUACGGGAGGCAGCAGUGGGGAAUAUUGGACAAUGGGGGCAACCCUGAUCCAGCAAUGCCGCGUGUGUGAAGAAGGCCUGAGGGUUGUAAAGCACUUUCAGUAGUGAGGAAAGGUUCUUGUUUAAGAGAUGAGAGCUGUGACGUUAGCUACAAAAGCAGCACCGGCUAACUACGUGCCAGCAGCCGCGGUAAUACGUAGGUGGCAAGCGUUAUCCGGAAUUAUUGGGCGUAAAGCGCAUGUAGGCGGCUUUUUAAGUCUGAUGUGAAAGCCAGUGGCUCAACCACUGAAUUGCAUUGGAUACUGGAAAGCUAGAAUCUUGGAGAGGUAAGUGGAAUUUCAUGUGUAGCGGUGGAAUGCGUAGAUAUAUGAAGGAACACCAAUGGCGAAGGCAGCUUACUGGACAAGUAUUGACGCUGAGAUGCGAAAGUGUGGUAGCAAACAGGAUUAGAUACCCUGGUAGACAUCA
Molecule: ribosomal RNA, 471 nt
Filed under: uncultured bacterium
Lineage: Bacteria
Description: bacterial SSU rRNA
Rfam family: Bacterial small subunit ribosomal RNA
Source: RNAcentral